Molecule: ribosomal RNA, 627 nt
Filed under: uncultured soil bacterium
Lineage: Bacteria
Description: bacterial SSU rRNA
Rfam family: Bacterial small subunit ribosomal RNA
Source: RNAcentral
CGCUGGCGGCAGGCCUAACACAUGCAAGNCGAGCGGCAGCACGGGUAGCAAUACCUGGUGGCGAGCGGCGGACGGGUGAGGAAUACAUCGGAAUCUGCCUUGUCGUGGGGGAUAACGUAGGGAAACUUACGCUAAUACCGCAUACGACCGAGAGGUGAAAGCGGGGGAUCGCAAGACCUCGCGCGACAAGAUGAGCCGAUGUCGGAUUAGCUAGUUGGCGGGGUAAGAGCCCACCAAGGCGACGAUCCUUAGCUGGUCUGAGAGGAUGAUCAGCCACACUGGAACUGAGACACGGUCCAGACUCCUACGGGAGGCAGCAGUGGGGAAUAUUGGACAAUGGGCGCAAGCCUGAUCCAGCCAUGCCGCGUGGGUGAAGAAGGCCUUCGGGUUGUAAAGCCCUUUUGUUGGGGACGAAAUCGUACGGGUGAAUAUCCCGUGCGGAUGACGGUACCCAAAGAAUAAGCACCGGCUAACUUCGUGCCAGCAGCCGCGGUAAUACGAAGGGUGCAAGCGUUACUCGGAAUUACUGGGCGUAAAGCGUGCGUAGGCGGUUUGUUAAGUCCGCUGUGAAAGCCCUGGGCUCAACCUGGGAAUUGCAGUGGAUACUGGCAAGCUAGAGUGCGGUAG